GGGUUUGGUAUAAAGUGACUGGAUCAUGGGGGUGGAUUUCUGAGGAAUGGUCUAGCACCAUCCCCCUGGUACUGUCCUGAUGAUAGUGAGUGAGCUCUCAUGAG
Long non-coding RNA from Sapajus apella (tufted capuchin), 104 nucleotides. RefSeq lists it as uncharacterized. The record is from RefSeq and is a predicted model, not a curated record. NCBI's taxonomy places the organism in Eukaryota, Metazoa, Chordata, Mammalia, Primates, Cebidae. The transcript has 3 exons.